This 77-nucleotide transfer RNA is filed under the name Nocardia acididurans. RNAcentral's name for it is "tRNA-His". It matches the Rfam family "tRNA". From Rfam's summary of the family: Transfer RNA (tRNA) molecules are approximately 80 nucleotides in length. Their secondary structure includes four short double-helical elements and three loops (D, anti-codon, and T loops). Lineage: Bacteria; Bacillati; Actinomycetota; Actinomycetes; Mycobacteriales; Nocardiaceae. The record is from RNAcentral.
CUGGACGAUGCCGAAGUGGUCGAGGCAUCAGUUUGUGACACUGAUCCAAGCGGGUUCGAGUCCCGUCGUUCAGCCCA